Molecule: ribosomal RNA, 229 nt
Filed under: uncultured Staphylococcus sp.
Lineage: Bacteria; Bacillati; Bacillota; Bacilli; Caryophanales; Staphylococcaceae
Description: partial 16S ribosomal RNA
Rfam family: Bacterial small subunit ribosomal RNA
Source: RNAcentral
GUAACACGUGGAUAACCUACCUAUAAGACUGGGAUAACUUCGGGAAACCGGAGCUAAUACCGGAUAAUAUUUUGAACCGCAUGGUUCAAAGUGAAAGACGGUCUUGCUGUCACUUAUAGAUGGAUCCGCGCUGCAUUAGCUAGUUGGUAAGGUAACGGCUUACCAAGGCAACGAUGCAUAGCCGACCUGGGAGGGUGAUCGGCCACACUGGAACUAAGACACGGUCCAG